RNAcentral lists this ribosomal RNA (468 nucleotides) under uncultured bacterium. RNAcentral describes it as "partial 16S ribosomal RNA". It matches the Rfam family "Bacterial small subunit ribosomal RNA", at positions 28 to 507 of the family's 1533-position model. The record is from RNAcentral.
GACGAACGCUGGCGGCGUGCUUAACACAUGCAAGUCGAACGGAAAGGCCCUGCUUUUGUGGGGUGCUCGAGUGGCGAACGGGUGAGUAACACGUGAGUAACCUGCCCUUGACUUUGGGAUAACUUCAGGAAACUUGGGCUAAUACCGGAUAGGAGCUCCUGCUGCAUGGUGGGGGUUGGAAAGUUUCGGCGGUAGGGGAUGGACUCGCGGCUUAUCAGCUUGUUGGUGGGGUAGUGGCAUACCAAGGCUUUGACAGGUAGCCGGCCUGAGAGGGUGACCGGCCACAUAGGGACUGAGGUACGGCCCAGACUCCUACGGGAGACAGCAGUGGGGAUUAUUGAACAACGGGCGGAAGCCAGAUGCAGCAACGCCGCAUGCUGGAUGACGGCCUUGUGGUUGUAAGCCGCUUUUGCCAGUGACGAUGCGUUAGUGACGGUAAUGGGUAAAUAAACACCGGCUAACUACGUG